This 460-nucleotide ribosomal RNA is filed under the name uncultured bacterium. RNAcentral's name for it is "partial 16S ribosomal RNA". It matches the Rfam family "Bacterial small subunit ribosomal RNA", at positions 338 to 795 of the family's 1533-position model. The record is from RNAcentral.
CCUACGGGGGGCAGCAGUGAGGAAUAUUGGUCAAUGGACGAGAGUCUGAACCAGCCAAGUAGCGUGAAGGAUGAAUGCCCUAUGGGUUGUAAACUUCUUUUAUAAAGGAAUAAAACGAGGCACGUGUGCCUUUAUGCAUGUACUUUAUGAAUAAGGAUCGGCUAACUCCGUGUAAGCAGCCGCGGUAAUACGGAGGAUCCGAGCGUUAUCCGGAUGUAGUGGGGUUAAAGGGAGCGUAGAUGGUUUGUUAAGUCAGUUGUGAAAGUUUGCAGCGCAACCGGAAAAUUGCAGUUGAUACUGGAAGUCUUGAUUACAGUAGAGGUAGGCGGAAUUCGUGGUGUAGCGGUGAAAUGCUUAGAUAUCACGAAGAACCCCGAUUGCGAAGGCAGCUUACUAAACUGUGACUGACAUUGAUGCUCGAAAGUGUGGGUAUCAAACAGGAUUAGAUACCCUUGUAGUC